Didymosphaeria variabile is the source of this 101-nucleotide non-coding RNA. The record is from the annotation of a RefSeq genome assembly. Lineage: Eukaryota; Fungi; Ascomycota; Dothideomycetes; Pleosporales; Didymosphaeriaceae.
UCCGAUAUGGUCUAGUGGCUAGGAUACAUCGCUCUCAUUCACAGUGUUCACAGAAGAAUUUGGAUCCCGAUGUGGCCCGGGUUCGAUUCCCGGUGUCGGAA